GAUGAACGCUGGCGGCGUGCCUAAUACAUGCAAGUCGAGCGAACAGAUGAGGAGCUUGCUCCUCUGACGUUAGCGGCGGACGGGUGAGUAACACGUGGAUAACCUACCUAUAAGACUGGGAUAACUUCGGGAAACCGGAGCUAAUACCGGAUAAUAUAUUGAACCGCAUGGUUCAAUAGUGAAAGACGGUUUUGCUGUCACUUAUAGAUGGAUCCGCGCCGCAUUAGCUAGUUGGUAAGGUAACGGCUUACCAAGGCAACGAUGCGUAGCCGACCUGAGAGGGUGAUCGGCCACACUGGAACUGAGACACGGUCCAGACUCCUACGGGAGGCAGCAGUAGGGAAUCUUCCGCAAUGGGCGAAAGCCUGACGGAGCAACGCCGCGGGAGUGAUGAAGGUCUUCGGAUCGUAAAACUCUGUUAUUAGGGAAGAACAAAUGUGUAAGUAACGAUGCACGUCUGGACGGUACCUAAUCAGAAAGCCACGGCUAACUACGU
This 496-nucleotide ribosomal RNA is filed under the name uncultured bacterium. Its description in RNAcentral is "partial 16S ribosomal RNA". It matches the Rfam family "Bacterial small subunit ribosomal RNA", at positions 28 to 506 of the family's 1533-position model. The record is from RNAcentral.